AUGGCCGCUCAGGCUCCCCCUGCAGCUGCAGCUGCUCCUCUAGACUUGUCCCUCACGCUGUCCCCCAUGUAUAAUUUGGCUGUUCUUCCUAGCGGCGGCGGCCGUCGCAGAGGGGGCGCAAGAUCGUGGCUCUUCUCUUGCCUCUUCUGUGAGAGGAAGUUCCUCAAGUCGCAGGCCCUAGGGGGUCACCAGAACGCUCACCGGAAGGAGAGAGUCGUCGGCACCUGGAACACCCACCUCUACCUCUCUGACCAUCGUCACGCCGCAGCGUCUUGA
Molecule: ribosomal RNA, 276 nt
Filed under: Triticum aestivum (bread wheat)
Lineage: Eukaryota; Viridiplantae; Streptophyta; Magnoliopsida; Poales; Poaceae
Description: partial small subunit ribosomal RNA
Source: RNAcentral